Molecule: long non-coding RNA, 2710 nt
Filed under: Sus scrofa (pig)
Lineage: Eukaryota; Metazoa; Chordata; Mammalia; Artiodactyla; Suidae
Description: lncRNA (ENSSSCG00035058120.1, ENSSSCG00065046042.1)
Source: RNAcentral
CACAGGGCCCUCAGGCUCGGGCAGGAGGCGGCAGUGUGGGUGGACCUGAGGGCACGGCCAGGUCAGGAGGCGCCCACCUCCGGGCGUGGGUGGCGGUGGGUGAGGCGACGGAUGCCCAGGAGGAGCAGGGGUCUGGGGGAUACCAAAGGCGGGCCGCCGGGCGGGGUGGGGCGCCCGGGCGGCCUGUGCCUUCCAGGUUCUCGGGAAGGAUUCCUUCUGAAGAAGUCAGAGGAGGAGCCUGAGGUCUUCGACCAGAACUACUCAGCGGCAGCUUCCUUCGAAGACGUGGGGGAGCCCGCGAUCGACCGCGACGGAGCUGUUCAACCACCAGGCGGACCGCUCCCCCCGCCGCGGCGCCGGCCCUGCUGGACAAUGUCCUCCUCAAGCUGCUGGCCGGGGCCGGGGCUUCCGAGACGGGCCCCACACGGACACACCGGCGAACACCCUGGGCCCUAAAGGACAUGUCCUCGUCCUCAGCUUGCUCUUUGGAAUGGCUUUCCUGUCCAGCUCUGUUUCCAUCUUGACGGUCAAAGAGAGGCGCCUCCAGCAGGUCCGGUUCAUCGGUGGCCUGUGGUGUUUUUGUGCUACAAGGAAGAGGCAUUUAUACAGCAGGAAAGCGUCCCAGCUGUUACCUUGAUGCUAAUGCUUUGUGCCUGGGCUCCCAUCCCCUCCAUCUGCUUGAGCAGCUUCUGCUUCGACCACCCGGGGAGCACCUGUGCUGAGCUCAUUGUCACGCUCACCUUCUCUCUCGAGCACUGGCUCCCUUGUUCUCGUCACCGUCACAAGUGAAAAAGAUCUAGGCUACACGGUCGUCUCAGAGUCCUUGGACCACACGUUCCUACGGCUUCCAGGCCACUGCCUGGGCAUGGCUUUCUCCAACUUAUGUUAUAACUUUGAACUACGCAAGUUUUGCAGUGCCAAGAGCCUGAACCAGACUGAGUGCAGUCAAGUUUGUGAGUAUCACAGAUAGAAUUUGUUCAUUCCAUUUUUCAUUGAGCUGUAAUUCACCCUUUUAAGGUGUACAAUUCGCUGGGUUUGGGUAGAUCCCCAAGGUUGUCCAACCGCCGCCACCAUCUAAUUCCAGAAUGUCUUCAUCCCCCCCCAAAAGAAAUACUCUGUCCAUCAACAGUCACUCCCAAGUCCUUUUUCCCCAAAGCCCCUGACAACCAAUAAGCUCCUUCCUGUCUCUGUGGAUUAGCCCGUUCUGGACGGUUCGUGGACGUGGAAUCUGGCUGCCUCCGUCUGCGUUUUGACUUUUAGGAAUAACUCUGUUGUGGACAUUGACAUACGGGUUUUUGCGUGAAGCUAUUUUCAGCGCUCUCAGGUGUCCAGCUAGGAGUGGGUGCGCUGGUCUCACGGUGACUCGAUGUUUAGCUUUUUGAGGAAACACCAAACUAUUUACCACGGCGGCUGCCCCGUUUUGCAUUUUACCAGCCAUACGGGAGAGCCCCAGUUUGUCCACCUCCUUUCGAACAUCUUUUAAAAUUAGUUUUUUCCUUAAACUGCGGUAAAAUUUCUCUUACCAUUUUGACCACUUUAAAGCGUUCAGGAGUGCCUGUCGUGGCUCACCAGUGACAAUCCCAACUAGGAACCAUGAGGUUGCAGGUUCAAUCCCUGGCCUUGCUCCGUGGGUUAAGGAUCCGGCAUUGCCCUGAGCUGUGGUGUAGGUCAAAAAGACGCGGCUCGGAUCCCGCAUUACUGUGGCCGUGGUCCAGGCCGGCAGCUACAGCUCCCAUUGGACCCCUAGCCUGGCAACUUCCAUAUGCCAGGAGUGCGGCCCUUAAAAAAAGACAAAAAAAAGUGUACAGUUCGGUGGCAUUAGGUGGAUUCACAAUGUCGCACACCCACCGCCACCAUCAUCUUGCAAGAUAGAAAGUGAACUGUGGCUGCCUCCCCAUGUCCCCACGCCAGCCCCAGGCAGCCAGCCCUCCUCUUCCUGUCGCCGAGUCUGACUGCUGCGGGCACCUCACACGAGUCGGGGUUGUACGAGGAAGUUACCUAAUGUGUGUAAAGCAUGAGGAGAAGCUUGGAAAGUCACCUAAAGUUGGAUGGCCCUUGUUUAUCCCGCUCUAGUAGAGGGGUACGUGGUCCGAGAGCAUCUACGCCUGCGAGCCCCUCGGGACGGGCCGGCGCCUGACCGCCCUCGCCCUCUCAGGACCUGUGUCCGCAUCCCGCUUCGCCUCCUUGAAACCAGUGGCCUGUGGGAACUGGAAGCCAGGUUCUGUGGCUUCCACAGGGAGCACACGUGGUGAGUGGGUCCAAGUGUAAGUCUCUGAGGACAGGUCAAGGGAAGCUGCACGGCUUCCUUCCUGCAGUCUGCAGGGGCCUGGAGACCUUCUAACCCAGCCUCAGGGCAGAGAGGGGACUGCUGUCCCCAGGACCCCGGGGACCCGAUGGGAGAAAGGCGAGGCGUGUGGGCCAGGUCAGCUGAGAAGAAACAAGACUCUAAGACAAAAAAAAAAAAAAAAAAGGAGUUCCCGUCGUGGGUCGUGGCUCCAUCGUUAACGAAUCCGACUAGGAACCAUGAGGUUGCGGGUUCGGUCCUUGCCCUUGCUCAGUGGGUUAAGGAUCAGGCGUUGCCGUGAGCUGUGGUGUAGGUCGCAGACGCAGCUUGGAUACUGCGUUGCUGUGGCUCUGGCAUAGGCUGGUGGCUACGGCUCUGAUUGGACCCCUAGCCUGGGAACCUCCAUAUGCCACGGGAGCGGCCCAA